AAGUCGAGCAGUUAGAGAGAAGCCUUGCUGCUCUUGAGAGCGGCGGACGGGUGAGUAAAUGCCUAGGAAUCUGCCUGGUAGUGGGGGAUAACGUUCGGAAACGGACGCUAAUACCGCAUACGUCCUACGGGAGAAAGCAGGGGACUUUCGGGCCUUGCGCUAUCAGAUGAGCCUAGGUCGGAUUAGCUAGUUGGUGAGGGUAAUGGCUCACCAAGGCGACGAUCCGUAACUGGUCUGAGAGGAUGAUCAGUCACACUGGAACUGAGACACGGUCCAGACUCCUACGGGAGGCAGCAGUGGGGAAUAUUGGACAAUGGGCGAAAGCCUGAUCCAGCCAUGCCGCGUGUGUGAAGAAGGUCUUCGGAUUGUAAAGCACUUUAAGUUGGGAGGAAGGGUUGUAGAUUAAUACUCUGCAAUUUUGACGUUACCGACAGAAUAAGCACCGGCUAACUCUGUGCCAGCAGCCGCGGUAAUACAGAGGGUGCAAGCGUUAAUCGGAAUUACUGGGCGUAAAGCGCGCGUAGGUGGUUCGUUAAGUUGGAUGUGAAAGCCCCGGGCUCAACCUGGGAACUGCAUUCAAAACUGACGAGCUAGAGUAUGGUAGAGGGUGGUGGAAUUUCCUGUGUAGCGGUGAAAUGCGUAGAUAUAGGAAGGAACACCAGUGGCGAAGGCGACCACCUGGACUGAUACUGACACUGAGGUGCGAAAGCGUGGGGAGCAAACAGGAUUAGAUACCCUGGUAGUCCACGCCGUAAACGAUGUCAACUAGCCGUUGGAAUCCUUGAGAUUUUAGUGGCGCAGCUAACUACACUAAGUGACCGGCUUGGGGUUUCCCG
RNAcentral lists this ribosomal RNA (836 nucleotides) under Pseudomonas gessardii. RNAcentral describes it as "bacterial SSU rRNA". It matches the Rfam family "Bacterial small subunit ribosomal RNA", at positions 59 to 885 of the family's 1533-position model. Lineage: Bacteria; Pseudomonadati; Pseudomonadota; Gammaproteobacteria; Pseudomonadales; Pseudomonadaceae. The record is from RNAcentral.